UACGGAGGAUGCGAGCGUUAUCCGGAUUUAUUGGGUUUAAAGGGUGCGCAGGCGGAUUUUUAAGUCAGCGGUCAAAUCGUGGGGCUCAACCCCAUCCAGCCGUUGAAACUGGGGAUCUAGAGUGUGCGAGAGGUAUGCGGAACGCGUGGUGUAGCGGUGAAAUGCAUAGAUAUCACGCAGAACCCCGAUUGCGAAGGCAGCAUACCGGUGCACAACUGACGCUCAGGCACGAAAGCGUGGGUAUCGAACAGG
RNAcentral lists this ribosomal RNA (252 nucleotides) under uncultured bacterium. RNAcentral's name for it is "partial 16S ribosomal RNA". It matches the Rfam family "Bacterial small subunit ribosomal RNA", at positions 524 to 776 of the family's 1533-position model. The record is from RNAcentral.